RNAcentral lists this long non-coding RNA (1471 nucleotides) under Macaca fascicularis (crab-eating macaque). Its description in RNAcentral is "lncRNA (ENSMFAG00000056165.1)". The record is from RNAcentral. Lineage: Eukaryota; Metazoa; Chordata; Mammalia; Primates; Cercopithecidae.
GUGGGUGUCUCUGUUGACUUGUCUGUUCUGUUAUCAUGCUGCUACCCGACUGUGCAAAGUAGUUUAGGGUGGCCAGAACCCAGGGACCAUUGGAUUUCAAAGCUUGCUUUUUCUGUUCUCUCUUCUCUCUCCCUGUCUCCCUGUCUCUCCCAUUCUCCUGCCCAUGCAUGAAAGUGUCCUCCACCUUCUUCCCACCCAGAGCUCCCUCCGGGCCUUUCUCUCUAUAUUUAUUUAUCUGACAUACAGAACGCGACCUCAGUGAGCAGCGUGCUGACAGUCAUGAUCCUCUUCUUUGGGUCUGUGUUUUGAGACAGGUUGAGUUCAGGGUGAGACAGCCUGCCGCACAUCCAAGGGUACGACCAGUGGGACCCUGGCCUGAGUCUGUUCCCCGAGGGGCCUCCAGCGGCAUCUGUUCCUCCCUGCAGCUGUGUCUUUCUUGUCCUGGGUUUACGAUGCAGGUGGGCCAGGCAGGUGUCAUUAGAGGAGGCACCCACUUCAACAGGAGGGCCACAGUGGGGACACAGAGUCCAGCACCUGAGCCCUCCACCCUCCCCAUUCUCGUUGGUUCCAUCGUCCACACUUAGAACCUCCCAGGAUCCCUUGGACUCUGUGCCCCAACUUGUCACGGCAGCCUGAGCCUACCCACCCCAGGAGAGGAGGGCUGGCAGGAACAUCUGCCUAUUCCGGGGGUGGCGUUGGCCCCAAAGAGGCUUCACCAGCAAAGGAACUGUGUGCAUUUUAAUACUGGGGGACGGAGGACAUGUGAGCUGCUCAGCUAGGUCUGCCCAAAGCCUAAGACUCAGUUUCCUUUUUCUUUUGCUUCUGCCCAUCCUUAACAACUAACAGCUCAACCCACACCUCUAGACAACAGUAGUUGUGCUUUCUGCUAAUGGUAACAUUUUCAGCUCUUAAAAAGAAGCUAGAGAUUUUCAAAUGCUAGAGUGUCUCUAUCAGAAGGGAUGGGACAUUGUGUCCAAAGCCUCAAGAACAAACCACACUUUCCUUCUGACCUGGUCCCCAAAGGUCAGCAAAGAGCAAGCAGGCAGAGGCCCUCAUAAGGACUCUUCUGUCCUCCUUUGGCCAAACUGUUUAACCGAGCCUAGGGGUGAGGGGGAGCGACCCGAGCUGACAUCUUUCUCCAUGGAGAGAGAUUUUAGAAAAUACUUUUCUCGCCCAUGAAUUUCAUUUUUGGUUGAUUUUUAUUGUUUUCCCUUUACUUACAAGAAAAUAAGAUUGCAACCACUCCUGGUAAUGAUUUAGUAGUUCCUUUUCAUUUCAGUUUUUGUAAAUUAGGAGAUAAUUCUAAGAGUUACUAAAGGAUGAUUUAUUUAAGAGAACUACGUCAAAUAGCGAAUGAGUUAUGGGUAACAUUAGAUGAAAAUAACCUUUCCCGUGGGAAAGGCUUCUCGAAGGCAUGGAUGCAAAUAUAAAAUAUUAAAAAAAAAUCUAAAUAAAGCUUAUUUUAAAAUAU